CCUACGGGGGGCUGCAGUGGGGAAUAUUGGACAAUGGGGGGAACCCUGAUCCAGCCAUGCCGCGUGUGUGAAGAAGGCCCUCGGGUUGUAAAGCACUUUCAGUGAGGAAGAACGCCUGGUGGUUAAUACCCAUCAGGAAAGACAUCACUCACAGAAGAAGCACCGGCUAACUCCGUGCCAGCAGCCGCGGUAAUACGGAGGGUGCGAGCGUUAAUCGGAAUUACUGGGCGUAAAGCGCGCGUAGGUGGCUUGAUAAGCCGGUUGUGAAAGCCCCGGGCUCAACCUGGGAACGGCAUCCGGAACUGUCAAGCUAGAGUGCAGGAGAGGAAGGUAGAAUUCCCGGUGUAGCGGUGAAAUGCGUAGAGAUCGGGAGGAAUACCAGUGGCGAAGGCGGCCUUCUGGACGGACACUGACACUGAGGUGCGAAAGCGUGGGUAGCAAACAGGAUUAGAUACCCCAGUAGUC
This 465-nucleotide ribosomal RNA is filed under the name Vreelandella stevensii. Its description in RNAcentral is "partial 16S ribosomal RNA". It matches the Rfam family "Bacterial small subunit ribosomal RNA", at positions 338 to 795 of the family's 1533-position model. Lineage: Bacteria; Pseudomonadati; Pseudomonadota; Gammaproteobacteria; Oceanospirillales; Halomonadaceae. The record is from RNAcentral.